This 490-nucleotide ribosomal RNA is filed under the name uncultured bacterium. Its description in RNAcentral is "partial 16S ribosomal RNA". It matches the Rfam family "Bacterial small subunit ribosomal RNA", at positions 29 to 507 of the family's 1533-position model. The record is from RNAcentral.
AAUGAACGCUGGCGGCAUGCCUUACACAUGCAAGUCGAACGGCAGCAUGACCUAUCUUGCUCGUUUGAUGGCGAGUGACGAACGGGUGAGUAAUGCAUCGGCAGGUGCCUUUUUGUGGGGGAUAACGUAACGAAAGGUACGCUAACACCGCAUAUUCUCUGAGGAGGAAAGCAGGGUACCUUCGGGCCUCGCGCUAGAAGAGCGGCCGAUGUCGGCUUAGCUAGUUGGUGAGGUAAAGGCUCACCAAGGCAACGAUCCGUAGCGGGUCUGAGAGGAUGAUACGCGACACUGGGACUUAGACACGGCCCAGAGUCCUGCGGUAGGCAGCAGUGGGGAAUGUUGGGCAAUGGGCGCAAGCCUGAUCCAGCCGUGCCGCGUGAGUGAAGACAGCCUUCGGGGUGUAAAGCUCUGUCGGGUGGGAAGAAAUCGCUCCCUCUAAUACGGGGUGUGGAUGACGGUACCAGGAUAAGAAGCACCGGCUAACUACGUG